RNAcentral lists this ribosomal RNA (472 nucleotides) under uncultured Alphaproteobacteria bacterium. RNAcentral's name for it is "bacterial SSU rRNA". It matches the Rfam family "Bacterial small subunit ribosomal RNA", at positions 9 to 524 of the family's 1533-position model. The record is from RNAcentral. Lineage: Bacteria; Pseudomonadati; Pseudomonadota; Alphaproteobacteria.
GAGUUUGAUCGUGGCUCAGAACGAACGCUGGCGGCAGGCUUAACACAUGCAAGUCGAACGCGUGUAGCAAUACACGAGUGGCGCACGGGUGAGUAACGCGUGGAUAUCUGCCUUUUGGUUCGGAAUAACCCCGGGAACUGGGGCUAAUACCGGAUGGUUCCUUCGGGAUAAAGAUUUAUCGCCAAAAGAUGAGCCCGCGUACGAUUAGCUAGUUGGUGAGGUAAUGGCUCACCAAGGCGACGAUCGUUAGCUGGUCUGAGAGGACGAUCAGCCACACUGGGACUGAGACACGGCCCAGACUCCUACGGGAGGCAGCAGUGGGGAAUAUUGGACAAUGGGGGGCAACCCUGAUCCAGCCAUGCCGCGUGAGUGAUGAAGGCCUUCGGGUUGUAAAGCUCUUUUGGUCGGGGACGAUGAUGACGGUACCCGCAGAAUAAGCCCCGGCUAACUUCGUGCCAGCAGCCGCCGUAAC